RNAcentral lists this ribosomal RNA (2944 nucleotides) under Staphylococcus aureus. RNAcentral's name for it is "23S ribosomal RNA". It matches the Rfam family "Bacterial large subunit ribosomal RNA". The record is from RNAcentral. Lineage: Bacteria; Bacillati; Bacillota; Bacilli; Caryophanales; Staphylococcaceae.
UUAAGUUAUUAAGGGCGCACGGUGGAUGCCUUGGCACUAGAAGCCGAUGAAGGACGUUACUAACGACGAUAUGCUUUGGGGAGCUGUAAGUAAGCUUUGAUCCAGAGAUUUCCGAAUGGGGAAACCCAGCAUGAGUUAUGUCAUGUUAUCGAUAUGUGAAUACAUAGCAUAUCAGAAGGCACACCCGGAGAACUGAAACAUCUUAGUACCCGGAGGAAGAGAAAGAAAAUUCGAUUCCCUUAGUAGCGGCGAGCGAAACGGGAAGAGCCCAAACCAACAAGCUUGCUUGUUGGGGUUGUAGGACACUCUAUACGGAGUUACAAAGGACGACAUUAGACGAAUCAUCUGGAAAGAUGAAUCAAAGAAGGUAAUAAUCCUGUAGUCGAAAAUGUUGUCUCUCUUGAGUGGAUCCUGAGUACGACGGAGCACGUGAAAUUCCGUCGGAAUCUGGGAGGACCAUCUCCUAAGGCUAAAUACUCUCUAGUGACCGAUAGUGAACCAGUACCGUGAGGGAAAGGUGAAAAGCACCCCGGAAGGGGAGUGAAAUAGAACCUGAAACCGUGUGCUUACAAGUAGUCAGAGCCCGUUAAUGGGUGAUGGCGUGCCUUUUGUAGAAUGAACCGGCGAGUUACGAUUUGAUGCAAGGUUAAGCAGUAAAUGUGGAGCCGUAGCGAAAGCGAGUCUGAAUAGGGCGUUUAGUAUUUGGUCGUAGACCCGAAACCAGGUGAUCUACCCUUGGUCAGGUUGAAGUUCAGGUAACACUGAAUGGAGGACCGAACCGACUUACGUUGAAAAGUGAGCGGAUGAACUGAGGGUAGCGGAGAAAUUCCAAUCGAACCUGGAGAUAGCUGGUUCUCUCCGAAAUAGCUUUAGGGCUAGCCUCAAGUGAUGAUUAUUGGAGGUAGAGCACUGUUUGGACGAGGGGCCCCUCUCGGGUUACCGAAUUCAGACAAACUCCGAAUGCCAAUUAAUUUAACUUGGGAGUCAGAACAUGGGUGAUAAGGUCCGUGUUCGAAAGGGAAACAGCCCAGACCACCAGCUAAGGUCCCAAAAUAUAUGUUAAGUGGAAAAGGAUGUGGCGUUGCCCAGACAACUAGGAUGUUGGCUUAGAAGCAGCCAUCAUUUAAAGAGUGCGUAAUAGCUCACUAGUCGAGUGACACUGCGCCGAAAAUGUACCGGGGCUAAACAUAUUACCGAAGCUGUGGAUUGUCCUUUGGACAAUGGUAGGAGAGCGUUCUAAGGGCGUUGAAGCAUGAUCGUAAGGACAUGUGGAGCGCUUAGAAGUGAGAAUGCCGGUGUGAGUAGCGAAAGACGGGUGAGAAUCCCGUCCACCGAUUGACUAAGGUUUCCAGAGGAAGGCUCGUCCGCUCUGGGUUAGUCGGGUCCUAAGCUGAGGCCGACAGGCGUAGGCGAUGGAUAACAGGUUGAUAUUCCUGUACCACCUAUAAUCGUUUUAAUCGAUGGGGGGACGCAGUAGGAUAGGCGAAGCGUGCGAUUGGAUUGCACGUCUAAGCAGUAAGGCUGAGUAUUAGGCAAAUCCGGUACUCGUUAAGGCUGAGCUGUGAUGGGGAGAAGACAUUGUGUCUUCGAGUCGUUGAUUUCACACUGCCGAGAAAAGCCUCUAGAUAGAAAAUAGGUGCCCGUACCGCAAACCGACACAGGUAGUCAAGAUGAGAAUUCUAAGGUGAGCGAGCGAACUCUCGUUAAGGAACUCGGCAAAAUGACCCCGUAACUUCGGGAGAAGGGGUGCUCUUUAGGGUUAACGCCCAGAAGAGCCGCAGUGAAUAGGCCCAAGCGACUGUUUAUCAAAAACACAGGUCUCUGCUAAACCGUAAGGUGAUGUAUAGGGGCUGACGCCUGCCCGGUGCUGGAAGGUUAAGAGGAGUGGUUAGCUUCUGCGAAGCUACGAAUCGAAGCCCCAGUAAACGGCGGCCGUAACUAUAACGGUCCUAAGGUAGCGAAAUUCCUUGUCGGGUAAGUUCCGACCCGCACGAAAGGCGUAACGAUUUGGGCACUGUCUCAACGAGAGACUCGGUGAAAUCAUAGUACCUGUGAAGAUGCAGGUUACCCGCGACAGGACGGAAAGACCCCGUGGAGCUUUACUGUAGCCUGAUAUUGAAAUUCGGCACAGCUUGUACAGGAUAGGUAGGAGCCUUUGAAACGUGAGCGCUAGCUUACGUGGAGGCGCUGGUGGGAUACUACCCUAGCUGUGUUGGCUUUCUAACCCGCACCACUUAUCGUGGUGGGAGACAGUGUCAGGCGGGCAGUUUGACUGGGGCGGUCGCCUCCUAAAAGGUAACGGAGGCGCUCAAAGGUUCCCUCAGAAUGGUUGGAAAUCAUUCAUAGAGUGUAAAGGCAUAAGGGAGCUUGACUGCGAGACCUACAAGUCGAGCAGGGUCGAAAGACGGACUUAGUGAUCCGGUGGUUCCGCAUGGAAGGGCCAUCGCUCAACGGAUAAAAGCUACCCCGGGGAUAACAGGCUUAUCUCCCCCAAGAGUUCACAUCGACGGGGAGGUUUGGCACCUCGAUGUCGGCUCAUCGCAUCCUGGGGCUGUAGUCGGUCCCAAGGGUUGGGCUGUUCGCCCAUUAAAGCGGUACGCGAGCUGGGUUCAGAACGUCGUGAGACAGUUCGGUCCCUAUCCGUCGUGGGCGUAGGAAAUUUGAGAGGAGCUGUCCUUAGUACGAGAGGACCGGGAUGGACAUACCUCUGGUGUACCAGUUGUCGUGCCAACGGCAUAGCUGGGUAGCUAUGUGUGGACGGGAUAAGUGCUGAAAGCAUCUAAGCAUGAAGCCCCCCUCAAGAUGAGAUUUCCCAACUUNNNNNNNNNNNNNNNNNNNNNNNNGGUUAUAAGAUCCCUCAAAGAUGAUGAGGUUAAUAGGUUCGAGGUGGAAGCAUGGUGACAUGUGGAGCUGACGAAUACUAAUCGAUCGAAGACUUAAUCAA